UGAAUCGUAGAGAUGUGAGGACACCAUGGCGAAGCAGCCCCUGGGAUAACACUGACGCUCAUGUCGAAAGCGUGGGUAGCAACAGGAUUAGAUACCCUGGUAGUCCACGCCCUAAACGAUGUCAACUGGUUGUUGGGGGAGUGAAAUCCCUUAGUAACGAAGCUAACGCGUGAAGUUGACCGCCUGGGGAGUACGGUCGCAAGAUUAAAACUCAAAGGAAUUGACGGGGACCCGCACAAGCGGUGGAUGAUGUGGAUUAAUUCGAUGCAACGCGAAAAACCUUACCUACCCUUGACAUGUCCAGAAUCCUGCAGAGAUGCGGGAGUGCCCGAAAGGGAAUUGGAACACAGGUGCUGCAUGGCUGUCGUCAGCUCGUGUCGUGAGAUGUUGGGUUAAGUCCCGCAACGAGCGCAACCCUUAUCAUUAGUUGCUACGCAAGGGCACUCUAAUGAGACUGCCGGUGACAAACCGGAGGAAGGUGGGGAUGACGUCAAGUCCUCAUGGCCCUUAUGGGCAGGGCUUCACACGUCAUACAAUGGUCGGUACAGAGGGUUGCCAAGCCGCGAGGUGGAGCCAAUCCCAGAAAGCCGAUCGUAGUCCGGAUUGUUCUCUGCAACUCGAGAGCAUGAAGUCGGAAUCGCUAGUAAUCGCGGAUCAGCAUGUCGCGGUGAAUACGUUCCCGGGUCUUGUACACACCGCCCGUAAGGGC
Molecule: ribosomal RNA, 709 nt
Filed under: uncultured bacterium
Lineage: Bacteria
Description: bacterial SSU rRNA
Rfam family: Bacterial small subunit ribosomal RNA
Source: RNAcentral